GGGUACUCAACCCUUACAAUUCAAGAAUAAUCACAUUAAAUACAAUCAAAGCAAGCUAAUGGAUUAUUGCACCAUUCUGAGAAAAUAACAUUAACAUCACUACCUCGGCCUAUGAACCAAAACCAAGAAAUAUAAAUAAUUUGGUCCACUAAAGUAGCUAUAUUAACAUGUUCACCUUUAAAUAAUAUAUUAUUGCGCAUACG
RNAcentral lists this long non-coding RNA (203 nucleotides) under Trifolium pratense (red clover). Its description in RNAcentral is "long non-coding RNA (TPRA_LNC002962)". The record is from RNAcentral. Lineage: Eukaryota; Viridiplantae; Streptophyta; Magnoliopsida; Fabales; Fabaceae.